AAUGGGCAUGUGAUGAAUCUCAUCAUCAAAUGGGUAAUUUGCGUCUGAAUUUUUUUGAUGCUGUAUCACCUUGGAGAACUGAUGCCCACA
Molecule: non-coding RNA, 90 nt
Organism: Glycine max (soybean)
Lineage: Eukaryota; Viridiplantae; Streptophyta; Magnoliopsida; Fabales; Fabaceae
Source: Rfam